RNAcentral lists this long non-coding RNA (482 nucleotides) under Equus caballus (horse). RNAcentral describes it as "lncRNA (ENSECAG00000039845.3)". Lineage: Eukaryota; Metazoa; Chordata; Mammalia; Perissodactyla; Equidae. The record is from RNAcentral.
GGGAGCCAAAGUAACCAGAGGGAGCCUUCAGCACGGAAUCCCAUAUGCUGCCAGUUAGAAGUUAAGCUAGAGUCCACAAAUGAAUGGAUUGUGGCUAGCUGGACACUGGGCCCUCCGCUGGCACUGUGGUCACUGCUGGCCCCAGUGCCACCAAUGCCACAGGACACUGGAUGCCAUAGCCACCAACUCCACCAGAAGGAGUUCCGAUUAUGUUGUUCAGUCUGGAUUUAGAAGUCUCAGGAUGAAGGGGAGAUGGGAGACUAGAAAACAGAAAUUGCUCAAAAAGGAAUUGAGCCCUUUGGAUGGGAAACAGGAACUCCGGUGGAAUGCAGGAGGAAGGAUUGAGCAAGAGAGAAGCAGCUGCCAACCUAUCCGAAUGAAAACAAACACCUUGAACACGACAGUGGACUUGAAAUGUUACUAAACUUUUUGGCAGGUUUCUCCCCACUAACAAGCCCGACGCAGGAAUACAAGAAAAGAAU